AGUUUGAUCCUGGCUCAGAUUGAAUGCUGGCGGCAGGCUUAACACAUGCAAGUCUAGCGGGGUGAUGGUGCUUGCACUAUCACUUAGCGGCGGACGGGUGAGUAAUGCUUAGGAAUCUGCCUAUUAGUGGGGGACAACAUUUCGAAAGGAAUGCUAAUACCGCAUACGUCCUACGGGAGAAAGCAGGGGAUCUUCGGACCUUGCGCUAAUAGAUGAGCCUAAGUCGGAUUAGCUAGUUGGUGGGGUAAAGGCCUACCAAGGCGACGAUCUGUAGCGGGUCUGAGAGGAUGAUCCGCCACACUGGGACUGAGACACGGCCCAGACUCCUACGGGAGGCAGCAGUGGGGAAUAUUGGACAAUGGGCGGAAGCCUGAUCCAGCCAUGCCGCGUGUGUGAAGAAGGCCUUAUGGUUGUAAAGCACUUUAAGCGAGGAGGAGGCUACUUUAGUUAAUACCUAGAGAUAGUGGACGUUACUCGCAGAAUAAGCACCGGCUAACUCUGUGCCAGCAGCCGCGGUAAUACAGAGGGUGCAAGCGUUAAUCGGAUUUACUGGGCGUAAAGCGCGCGUAGGCGGCUAAUUAAGUCAAAUGUGAAAUCCCCGAGCUUAACUUGGGAAUUGCAUUCGAUACUGGUUAGCUAGAGUGUGGGAGAGGAUGGUAGAAUUCCAGGUGUAGCGGUGAAAUGCGUAGAGAUCUGGAGGAAUACCGAUGGCGAAGGCACCAUCUGGCCUAACACUGACGCUGAGGUGCGAAACCAUGGGGAGCAAACAGGAUUAGAUACCCUGGUAGUCCAAUCC
Molecule: ribosomal RNA, 796 nt
Filed under: bacterium C31
Lineage: Bacteria
Description: bacterial SSU rRNA
Rfam family: Bacterial small subunit ribosomal RNA
Source: RNAcentral